This 28-nucleotide non-coding RNA is filed under the name Rattus norvegicus (Norway rat). The record is from RNAcentral. Lineage: Eukaryota; Metazoa; Chordata; Mammalia; Rodentia; Muridae.
UGAGAGACAUAAGAGUAGACUUGGACCA